GGUGGCGCAAUGGGUCAGUUCAUCUGGUUAUCAACCAAAAGGAUGGUGGUUCAAGCCCACCCAGGGACA
Molecule: non-coding RNA, 69 nt
Organism: Podarcis lilfordi (Lilford's wall lizard)
Lineage: Eukaryota; Metazoa; Chordata; Lepidosauria; Squamata; Lacertidae
Source: the annotation of a GenBank genome assembly